GCGCUCAUAGCUCAGCCGGAUAGAGUGUUUGGCUACGAACCAAAAGGUCGCAGGUUCGAGUCCUGCUGGGCGCACCA
RNAcentral lists this transfer RNA (77 nucleotides) under Bacillota bacterium. Its description in RNAcentral is "tRNA-Arg". It matches the Rfam family "tRNA". From Rfam's summary of the family: Transfer RNA (tRNA) molecules are approximately 80 nucleotides in length. Their secondary structure includes four short double-helical elements and three loops (D, anti-codon, and T loops). Further hydrogen bonds mediate the characteristic L-shaped molecular structure. tRNAs have two regions of fundamental functional importance: the anti-codon, which is responsible for specific mRNA codon recognition, and the 3' end, to which the tRNAs corresponding amino acid is attached (by aminoacyl-tRNA synthetases). tRNAs cope with the degeneracy of the genetic code in two manners: having more than one tRNA (with a specific anti-codon) for a particular amino acid; and 'wobble' base-pairing, i.e. permitting non-standard base-pairing at the 3rd anti-codon position. The record is from RNAcentral. Lineage: Bacteria; Bacillati; Bacillota.